Molecule: long non-coding RNA, 647 nt
Organism: Oncorhynchus kisutch (coho salmon)
Lineage: Eukaryota; Metazoa; Chordata; Actinopteri; Salmoniformes; Salmonidae
Exons: 2
Source: RefSeq, a predicted model, not a curated record
GGGAUACAAGAAUAUUUCAGAUUAUAAGUGAAAUUUAUAGAGCUGAAGUACAACAACCUAAUACCUUCCAUCAAUCUACCAAAUUCAUUUUAAGUCAAUAGUCAAUAAUAACCACGGCAGAGGGAAUAUACUUUUCUAGUUACCUUAAUGCCCCAACAGGUUGCCAUGCCUAACCAGUAAUGACCCUGAAAUAUACAAUUUCACAACAACUAACUCUUCUGCUACGCCCCAACAGGUUGCCAUGCCUAACCAGUAAUGACCCUGAAAUAUAUCAUUUCACAACAACUAACUCUUCUGCUACGCCCCAACAGGUUGCCAUGCCUAACCAGUAAUGACCCUGAAAUAUAUCAUUUCACAACAACUAACUCUUCUGCUACGCCCCAACAGGUUGCCAUGCCUAACCAGUAAUGACCCUGAAAAAUACAAUUUCACAACAACUAACUCUUCUGCUACGCCCCAACAGGUUGCCAUGCCUAACCAGUAAUGACCCUGAAAUAUACAAUUUCACAACAACUAACUCUUCUGCUACGCCCCAACAGGUUGCCAUGCCUAACCAGUAAUGACCCUGAAAUAUACAAUUUCACAACAACUAACUCUUCUGCUACGCCCCAACAGGUUGCCAUGCCUAACCAGUAAUGACCCUGAAA